This 469-nucleotide unclassified non-coding RNA is filed under the name Melitaea cinxia (Glanville fritillary). RNAcentral describes it as "misc RNA ENSMCXG00005018539.1". The record is from RNAcentral. Lineage: Eukaryota; Metazoa; Arthropoda; Insecta; Lepidoptera; Nymphalidae.
UAUACGCGUAAGAUCGAUUGCUAAGCGCGCGCGCGGGAAGAUGGACGUACUUCGGCAUACAAACCAUACGGCGGCGUUCGGCCAAUGCCCAACUGACCUAGUGACCUACUAAUCGAAUUUAGCGGGAAUAAGAAUUGGCGGGGGUUGCGGCGGGCGGUGGCAAGCGGCACAGUACAAGGCCAAGGCCGCACGCGCCGCCGUUAUGGCUGAAAUUAAUGUGCCUACAUUUCAUUUAUUUAAAUUCAAAUUUAUGGGAAUUUAAUAAAAAAUUAAGUACCUAUUUUUUUUACAAAUUUCGAAUGAAAGUCAUGUAGGUACUGAGUAUCCUCCUUAAAUAUUGAUAGUAAUUCACCAGUCACCUGUAUGUUUGUGAUUCGAUUUUUGUCAAAUAUCUCGAGAAAAGAGCAUCAAUAGUAGUAUUGUCUCUCGAAGUGGAUUCAUCGUAAAAAGGAUAGCGAGAAUUUUUGCU